UCCCUGGUGGUCUAGUGGUUAGGAUGCAUCACUUUCACCACUGUUGCCCAGGUUCAAUCCCUGGUCUGGGAG
RNAcentral lists this transfer RNA (72 nucleotides) under Sus scrofa (pig). It matches the Rfam family "tRNA". Rfam says of the family: Transfer RNA (tRNA) molecules are approximately 80 nucleotides in length. Their secondary structure includes four short double-helical elements and three loops (D, anti-codon, and T loops). The record is from Rfam by way of RNAcentral. Lineage: Eukaryota; Metazoa; Chordata; Mammalia; Artiodactyla; Suidae.